RNAcentral lists this ribosomal RNA (411 nucleotides) under Styphelia microdonta. RNAcentral's name for it is "Astroloma microdonta eukaryotic LSU rRNA". The stretch from base 49 to 204 matches the Rfam family "5.8S ribosomal RNA". Lineage: Eukaryota; Viridiplantae; Streptophyta; Magnoliopsida; Ericales; Ericaceae. The record is from RNAcentral.
CCUGUUUGCGGGUGGUGUUGGCGUAUGCAAUCUUUUGUACAACUGAACGACUCUCGGCAACGGAUAUCUCGGCUCUUGCAUCGAUGAAGAACGUAGCGAAAUGCGAUACUUGGUGUGAAUUGCAGAAUCCCGUGAACCAUCGAGUCUUUGAACGCAAGUUGCGCCUGAGGCCAGUAGGCUGAAGGCACGCCUGCCUGGGCGUCAUGCAUUGCGUCACCCGCUCCGUCGUGCCUAAGCGUGCAUGUCGGGAUGUGGGAGGAUGUUGGCCCCCCGUUUGCGCUUGGUGGUCGGUUGGCCUAAAAGGGAGUUCCCGACGAUGGACAUCACGACAAGUGGUGGUUGCAAAAAUUGUCGCUUCGUGUUUGUGGAUGCCAUUGUUAGUCGCUGGUUGGCUCGUUGACCCUAGAGGUG